UAGGGAAUAUUGGGCAAUGGGCGCAAGCCUGACCCAGCAACGCCGCGUGAGGGAAGAAGGUUUUCGGAUUGUAAACCUCUGUCCUAUGUGACGAAGGAAGUGACGGUAGCAUAGGAGGAAGCCCCGGCUAACUACGUGCCAGCAGCCGCGGUAAUACGUAGGGGGCGAGCGUUGUCCGGAAUUACUGGGCGUAAAGGGUGCGUAGGCGGUUUGGUAAGUUGGAUGUGAAAUACCCGGGCUUAACUUGGGGGCUGCAUCCAAUACUGUCGGACUUGAGUGCAGGAGAGGAAAGCGGAAUUCCUAGUGUAGCGGUGAAAUGCGUAGAUAUUAGGAGGAACACCAGUGGCGAAGGCGGCUUGCUGGGCUUUUUCUGACGCUGAGGCUCGAAAGCGUGGGGAGCAAACAGGAUUAGAUACCCUGGUAGU
Molecule: ribosomal RNA, 425 nt
Filed under: uncultured bacterium
Lineage: Bacteria
Description: bacterial SSU rRNA
Rfam family: Bacterial small subunit ribosomal RNA
Source: RNAcentral